This 912-nucleotide ribosomal RNA is filed under the name uncultured crenarchaeote. Its description in RNAcentral is "bacterial SSU rRNA". It matches the Rfam family "Archaeal small subunit ribosomal RNA", at positions 1 to 922 of the family's 1478-position model. Lineage: Archaea; Thermoproteati; Thermoproteota. The record is from RNAcentral.
UUCCGGUUGAUCCCGCCGGACCCGACUGCUAUCAGAGUGAGAUUAAGCCAUGCGAGUCAACGUAGCAAUACGUGGCACACGGCUCAGUAACACGUAGUCAACAUAACCAAAGGACGUGGAUAAACUCGGGAAACUGAGGCUAAACCGCGAUAGAUCAAGAUAUCUGGAAUGGUUUUUGAUCAAAAUCUAUAUGGCCUUUGGAUUGGACUGCGUCCGAUCAGGCUGUUGGUGAGGUAAUGGCCCACCAAACCUGUAACCGGUACAGGCUCUGAGAGGAGGAGCCCGGAGAUGGGUACUGAGACAAGGACCCAGGCCCUAUGGGGCGCAGCAGGCGCGAAACCUCUGCAAUAGGCGAAAGCCUGACAGGGUUACUCUGAGUGACUUUCGCUAGGAAAGUCUUUUGACACCUCUAAAAAUGGUGUAGAAUAAGGGGUGGGCAAGUCUGGUGUCAGCCGCCGCGGUAAUACCAGCACCCCGAGCGGUCGGGACGAUUAUUGGGCCUAAAGCAUCCGUAGCCGGUUUUACAAGUCCUCCGUUAAAUCCAGCUGCUUAACAGAUGGGCUGCGGAGGAUACUAUAAGACUAGGAGGCAGGAGAGGCAAGCGGUACUCAGUGGGUAGGGGUAAAAUCCGUUGAUCCAUUGAAGACCACCAGUGGCGAAGGCGGCUUGCCAGAAUGCGCUCGACGGUGAGGGAUGAAAGCUGGGGGAGCAAACCGGAUUAGAUACCCGGGUAGUCCCAGCUGUAAACGAUGCAGACUCGGUGAUGGACCAGCUUAAUGCUAGUCCAGUGCCGCAGGGAAGCCGUUAAGUCUGCCGCCUGGGUAGUACGGUCGCAAGACUGAAACUUAAAGGAAUUGGCGGGGGAGCACCACAAGGGGUGAAGCCUGCGGUUCAAUUGGAUUCAACGCCGGA